RNAcentral lists this transfer RNA (73 nucleotides) under Culex quinquefasciatus (southern house mosquito). It matches the Rfam family "tRNA". From Rfam's summary of the family: Transfer RNA (tRNA) molecules are approximately 80 nucleotides in length. Their secondary structure includes four short double-helical elements and three loops (D, anti-codon, and T loops). The record is from Rfam by way of RNAcentral. Lineage: Eukaryota; Metazoa; Arthropoda; Insecta; Diptera; Culicidae.
GCGGCCGUGGCUGACUGGUCACGGUGUUCGCUUUGUAAGCGAAUGAUCUUGGGUUCGAUUCCCAUCUGCUCCC